Long non-coding RNA from Scleropages formosus (Asian bonytongue), 1236 nucleotides. The record is from Ensembl. Lineage: Eukaryota; Metazoa; Chordata; Actinopteri; Osteoglossiformes; Osteoglossidae.
GGCUGAGCUGUCAACUGAUCACCACCUGGUGGUGAGUUGGAUUCGAUGGCGGGGGAAAAAGCUGGACAGACCUGGCAGGCCCAAACGCAUAGUGAGGGUCUGUUGGGAACGUUUGGCGGAGGCCCCUGUCAGAGAGGUCUUCAACUCCCACCUCCGACAGAGCUUCAACCAGGUCCCGAGGGAGGUGGGGGACAUUGAGUCCGAAUGGACUAUGUUCCGCUCCUCCAUUGUCGGUGCGGCUGUUCGGAGCUGCGGCCAUAAGGUCUCCGGUGCCUGUCGCGGCGGCAAUCCCCGAACACGGUGGUGGACACCGGAAGUAAGGGAUGCCGUCAAGCUGAAGAAGGAGUUCUAUCGGGCCUGGCUGGCUCAUGGGACUCCUGAAGCAGCUGACGGGUACCGACGGGCCAAACGGAGCGCGGCUCUGGCAGUCGCCGCGGCAAAAACUCGGGCUUGGGAGGAGUUCGGUGAGGCCAUGGAGGAAGACUUUCGGUCGGCCUCAAAGAGAUUCUGGCAAACCGUCCGGCGACUCAGAGGGGGGAAGCGGUGUUCCACGAACACUGUUUACAGUGGAAGUGGUGCGCUGCUGACCUCAGCUGAGGAUGUUCUCGGGCGGUGGAAGGAGUACUUUGAGGAUCUCCUCAAUCCCUCCGACACGCCUUCCGUAGAGGAAGCUGAGGCUGGGGACUCGGAGGGGGACUCGUCCAUUACCCUGGCUGAAGUUGCUGAGGUAGUCAAAAAACUCCUCGGUGGCAAGGCUCCGGGGGUGGAUGAGAUCCGCCCCGAGUUUCUCAAGUCUCUGGAUGUUGUGGGGCUGUCUUGGCUGACACGCCUCUGCAGCAUCGCGUGGAGUGCGGGAACGGUGCCUCUGGACUGGCAGACCGGGGUGGUGGUCCCUCUUUUUAAGAAGGGGGACCGGAGAUUGUGUUCCAACUACAGGGGGAUCACACUCCUUAGCCUCCCUGGGAAAGUCUAUGCCAGGGUACUGGAAAGGAGAAUCCGACCGAUAGUCGAACCUCGGAUUCAGGAGGAGCAAUGCGGUUUUCGCCCUGGCCGUGGAACACUGGACCAGCUCUAUACCCUCACUAGGGUGUUGGAGGGUUCGUGGGAGUUUGCCCAACCAGUCCAUAUGUGUUUUGUGGACCUGGAGAAGGCAUUCGACCGUGUCCCUCGUGGCAUCCUGUGGGGGGUGCUUCGGGAUUAUGGGGUUCGGGGCUCGUUGCUACGGGCUGUUCGUUC